This 791-nucleotide long non-coding RNA is filed under the name Nicotiana benthamiana. RNAcentral's name for it is "long non-coding RNA (NBEN_LNC002670)". Lineage: Eukaryota; Viridiplantae; Streptophyta; Magnoliopsida; Solanales; Solanaceae. The record is from RNAcentral.
UCUAUAUCUUGUCGGCCACAUUUAUAAUUAUUUUGUCGGUCAUUAUAUUAUUUUAUUUUUGUUUGGUUGUUAUCUGAUCCAUUAUAUAAGGAUCAUUUGAGUUUAGGAAGGGGAGGAAUGAGCCAACACUCGGAAUAUCUCUCUAAGCCUUCUCCAUCCUUGUAAAAAUCCCCUUUAUAAUUUUGUAGUAUUUUGAAUUCAUGAAUAAAAAUCAAAAAGUUCACUUGGCCACAAACAGCCGGUCUCUGGUACUAUUCUACCAUCUUUCUUUAUUUACAAUAUUUGAAGUACCUUUAGCCUAAAUGAUAGGCUAAAUAGGUAAGUAAUAAGCUUAAUAUGCAAAGGUUAUUUACAAAGCAUGCUUUGUUGCCCAAAAUGAACUGUAUCACCCUGAAAGUGUUAGGUUAAGAACUAUAUAGAACAUGCAGUUACUAACCUCAACAGUAAAACUUGGUUAGGAUAUCCUAACCGGUGGUGCUCGUAAACUCGUUUAGGCAGGUGGCCAUGUUGAAGAGUUGUGAGGAGCAUAUAUAGUUUAUAUAGUAUGUAUAGUUUAUAUAGUAUGCAUAUAUGUAGUAUAUUUAGUUUAUAUAGUAUGUAUAGUUUAUAUAGUAUAUAUAGUUUGUAUAGUAUGUAUAUAUGUAAUAUAUAUAGGUUACAUAGUAUGUAUAGUUUAUAUAGUAUAUAUAGUUUAUAUAGUAUGUAUAUGUGUAGUAUAUAUAGUUUAUAUAGUAUGUAUAGUUUAUAUAGUAUAUAUAGUUUAUAUAGUAUGUAUAUAUGUAGUAUAUAUA